GAAGUCAAAUACUUUCUCGUCUCUGGGCCCUGGUGGCCUAUGUGGCAUUGCUGGUGCUGGUAGCAUUUGUUCAGGCUAAUAGUAAACUCGGUAGCAUUUUUGUGAUCUUGUUUGGGUAUGCUUAGAUAACAGCAAAUGGCUUUACUUGGGAACUAAUGGAUUGGAUGGUCAGAGUUAAUGUUUUCCGUGUUUCCUGCAACACUGAAACUCAGGAACACUUAAUAAGCCUUCUUGAGACUUCAUGCACAGAAUGAUUUGAUUUGUAGUUAAGUGGUAGACUGCAAAUUCUCACUAAGUUUUUAGAUUAUAUUGUCAGUGCACAUUUGUGCCGCUUUGGUAUCUGCCACUGAGGUCAUAUGUCAGAGUAUUGACUUUCAUUUGAGCUGGAAAUUGACAAGUAUUGUGAUGUCAGGGUGAUCUUCCCCAUGUUCUGCAGGUGCCUGCAGUUGGCAGUGAUAUAAUGGAACUUACAUGAUCACUUAUCUAAAGACAUACUGAAGAACUCUUCUGUCUGGUUUAGGCUGAACCCUUUGAGAAGGAAGCAGCAGCUUGGUGGCUGAAAUAGCUGGCUGGCCUAGGAAGCACGUAUAUGUCCUGUGAAGUGGAUUUAGCAUUGGCCAGGUGUUGCAUGUGUGUUCAGGGAUGCCCUUCAAGGAAGCCACUACUAUUGCUAAGCACCUGCAAAGCUGGUCCCAGCAGCUAUUGAAAAGUACCCAUCUGGCACAUAGCCAUAUGGAUACUUAACUCCUGUCCUUUAAAGGACAAGAAAAUGAUAUUUCUUCAAGAAGAACAAGAACUGAUCUGUCUUUCCUUUGUGCUUUGGAAGGACCCUGUGAGUCAUCCUGGGGAGAGAGAAAGGCAUCUCCGUGUCAGUUAUAUUAGGAGAAUUUCUGGGAAGGAUGAGUGAAAAGCCAGUAUAGGUUAGAAAUCAAGUUACCUUUCAUCUUUGAGACUUCGCAUUUUUUGUAGAAAAUAAAAAAGAAAAUAUAUGAGAAAGGUAUAAAUGCUGAAAAGCUGGUUUUGUUUGAAAAUUUUAGAAGAUCUUACUUUGGGACAUGAUCAACCUGAUUUAAGAAUGUACUUAAAAUUGAAAACAAACAAAAAACGACUGAAAAACAAAACCCCAAGCAGCAUUGUGAAUAGUUUAGGUCUGGUUUUCUUGUCAGAGAAAUAGUAAUCUCUGCUCUGGCUGACUCUAUAUCUCUGGAGGAGUGGUUUCUCAUGCUGAAAAUGUGGAAUAUAUUGGCAGAAGUAUAGCACUUAAAAUAAUUUGUGUGACCUUUGAUGUCUGUGUGUGUUCUCUCCCUGAAGAAAGCUGUGUUCUUCAUGAUAGCUUCAUUGUGAAUCCUGAAAUGAUGUUAAAUGGAGUAGCAAAGCAAAAGCUCUGUUAAUGCACCCUGCUUUCUUCUAUGCAAAUAUAUAAGAGCAUCAGAACUUCAGCUUUUAUAGAUCAGAAAAUCAACUGACAUUUCAGGCAUUCUUAAAAGGAAUGCCAGAUGAAAAUACUCCAACUGCAGAGUUGUUGCUUAUCAUGCUGGAAAAUGAGGGUAACAUUUGAAGGUCCUUAGAGGUCAAGUCCAGUCUUUCUUAUCACUGGCACCUUGCUGCAUAAUCCCUUUCAAAGAUUUAGUGGCUGGAGGAGAAGUUUAGCAGGCGAGCCUGGAAUGCCCAAGCUGAUCUGGAGCCUGACUUUGGCAAAUCAGGUAAUGUUACUUCUGCCUCAUUUAGCUAUUCUAUUUCCCAUCUGAGUCACAGAGUUCUCGGGGCUCUUUAGUGUCUGAGUCUGACCAGUUGAUUUACCAUUCACAAAAAAAUUCUGUGACCAUUUGUUUGGACUCAAAGAAAUUGAUGAUACGGUAAUUGAUAGGUAUGGGUGAUGGGUUGUCAUGGAAGAGGUUGUGGCUUUUGAAGCUCAGGAUCUGGUGUGGAUUCCAUAGAGCCUGACUCAGGUCCCAGCAAGCCCUUUCUCCAGGAGUUGAUGCAGCCCAGAAAGGUUGUUUGUUACGCUUAAUGAGUGAGGUUGAAGAAUUUGCUCCAGUGUUCUCCCUCCAUGAACUUUAAGGUAUAAGGACUUUAACCCACUGGAGGAUGUGACUUUCUGCACUGUCAUCCAGGAUACAGACUUAGGACAGGGAAGCAAGAACCAGGACACAUCUCACAGGUGUUAUAUUAUAUCCCUAUCUCAUUCACCUCCUUCACUUCCCAUCUUUCUCUCCAUUAAACAUGGCACCAAACCCAGGUUGUUUCAGAAAUUGUGCAUACCAAGGUUUGCUGAAAAUGUGAUUCACUUCCUAACCAUUCUGGGCUGCUUGUAUUUUUAUGUCAGAGGGAACAUUUCACUUUUCCUAUAAAAUGGCUGCAAAAGUUUUAUAGAAACCUCAGUGCCUGCUUUUUCUACAUGCAAAUAGGGAAACUUGAUAAUCCAGUUUUGAUCCUGUGCUCAUUAGUGAUGCUUUAUUUUGUAAAUCUUGUAACUCUGUUAGAGUAAUUGUUAUAGUAAAAGACUUUGGGUGAGUUAAUUUAAAUACCAUACUGUAUUCUUCAUCAGAUUUUAUGGCGCUUUAAUUAUAGGAACUCUAAUGAGAUUAGUAGCCAUGAGUAAAUCAGAAGGGAUGGUUGGGGGUGGGGAGGGACUGCAUCUGACAGUGUUUUGUGCAUGGUUAACUUUGGUGGGACAAGAAUUCUGCUUUCUUCUGAGCAUGAAAUGUGUAGAUCAUCCUCCCUCUGCUCAGGACCUCAGUCUUUCUCUCUCUGUGACCUGAGUUUUUGGGGUUUUUUUUUUUGACCCCUCUCUGUGCAGAAUUUUUUUUCUGAAAGAACUGGAGAAAAAAAGCUGCUGACAGUUACAGUCAGGAUUUUUGUGGGGAAUGUGGUUAUAAACCUGCAUAGUGAAGAGGAAAAUUGAGGAGCAGUCUGCAUCACAUAAAACUAGUACUAGCUUGGAGCUGGAGGGCCUUGACACCUGUGUCUCGUCAGGUGUCUGAUGGUAUGAUAUAGAUCAUACAUCUUCAAAGCUGUAGUCUGCUGAUGAAAACCAGCCAGCAGAUAUGUAGGCACCAAGUGCUGAAUCAUCUGAUGGUUAAUGAGCUGCUUGUGCCCUGAGUCAAACCAGAGCUCGGAAAGGCCACUGUCAUUCAGUGCAGAAGCAGCUCUGUGUUUGCAAGGGUAAUUAAUCUAAAACCUUGCUCUAACACCAGCUCCCGAGUUGCUCGGACAGCUGCCCACUGCCUACCAGGAGAUGAUGGCAGGGUGAGCAACCACCCCUCCAGAAAGAAUGCAGAAGUUUCCAAAGGAGGAAGAGAGGUGCAGGAGGAGAAAAGAACCUGCUGGUUUACAGGCUUUCUAAACCAAAUCAGCAGCUUCAGCUGCUGUAAGCUGGCUGUGUUCCCGAGGAGACAAGGCAGAUAGACUUGGUCCAUCAGAUGCAAGCAGCCUACAAGCUGCUGGAGCACCUAAACUACUUCUCUGACAUUUUCAGCAAGUGACUUCUGAAAGUCUAUCGUGUCUCCUGAUGUGUUGUAUACAGUACCAGCAUCAAAAUGCUGCUGCGUACGCAGAUAUCACAAUGCAGGAUGAUACCAAAGUACCUCUAAGAUUGUGAGAGUUAGUCUUUCAACUUGACAAGAUACAUGGCAGACUUCAAGACCAUCUUACAUGUGUCUUGGUGAAUCCAGUUUGUGCCAGAACUUAAGUUUGGAACAGUUUACAAAAUCCAGCACUGAUGAAGAUGCUUUGAAAAUCAUUUGAAAGAAAACUAGUUUUGAGCAAUGAUCUUGAAUUAUAGUACUGCCUAGUUACCCCACUGUGUGUAGGCCUAGGUACUCUGUCAGCAUAUGAGCACUGCAUGUGGUAUAUUUGUUCCCUGUGCAGGAGUAGCUUCAAGCUCACUCUACGUGGCUAGCUAUGACUUCCUCUUGUUUGGAUAAGUCUUUGGCAGGUGUAGAGGUGGAAUUGUGGCUGUUAUUUCUUAGCCAUGCUGUUACGAAGUGAAGCAUGAGAGUGGCUCUUCUUACAGCAAAGAACAUUUUCAGUAAAACUCUGAGAUCUAAGAUACUGAGAAUAGAAAACAUGGUGUCAUGUUUGAACAGUUGCAGGAAGGGUUUUGCUGAUGGAAAAAGGCCCGAGUUCCUGAGGGGAAGAUAAGUGGCAUCAUUAAAUUGUUGAUGUUGAUAGCAAGUGGUAAGGGUAAAUGGCACGUCCAGUGGUGAUACCAUGAGUUGGCUGAUGUUGAUAGUGAAGUUGAUUGAGGUAUAAAGUUUUCCUAUGAAUGGGAAAUUGCAGCGGGAGAUGGAGAACCAGUUUUGGUGUAGCUGGGGCUGAGGCCUAAUUAUGAAAAUGUGUUAUUUCUAUGAAGCAGAAGCCCUCCUUGUCAGCUGUCUUUCACAGCCAGUGUGUUGCACCUCGCUGGUCUGUGGGUGGUGUUGGCAUUGGAGACCACAGGCAGGCUGAGCCAUAAGGAGAUUAUCUGCUGCAUGCCCUCCCUCCCACUGCUCCUACCAGCUGUUCAGAGGCGCCACCAGGCACAGGUAUGGAAUCAGUCCAGGGAAUGUAAAAUGAGUUGAAAACUGAACUGUUGGUGUGCAGUUGCUCAAACAAAAAGAAAUGAAGGAGUUAAAUGAGGGUUGUGAAGGCCUUCAGCUCACCUCUGCCCCAUAGCUGCUUCUCCACCCAGAGCAACUGUUCUUCCAACUGCUCUGGAGCCUCUUGGCCCUUCAUUCCUCUUUUCUUCUUGUACAAAUAUCUUGCUUCCUGCUGUCUAAACCAGCCAGGCUUGAAUAAAGUGUCAAUGGCCAGGAUGUCAGUACAUUGUCAAAAUGAUUAAGAGGUGUAAGGGAUGUAAUUUCUUUAAAAGAAUUCAAACUGGAGGCUUCCCCCUAAAGAAGUACAUUACUUACCCACCCAGGUUUAUCUGUCUUUAUGCCUCAUCUGCUUGUGCUUAUGUUUCUCUUGCUCCUUUUUUAAAGUACUUUCUUGAUUAAUUAUAUUUUAAAAGUAAAAAAAAAAUUCUUGUCUAUAUGAUUUUAUUAGCCAAAUACUAUUUUGUAUUUGGCUAAUACACAAAAAAGAUGCUUAAAAAUUUGUCACUAGAAAAAGUGACAAAUUUGCCUAUUGGUGAAGAGCUUAUUUAAUUUUUGAGUCCAUUUUUAAGUACUUGAAAAAUUUUGGUAAGGCAAAGAAAUUAAUUUUACUUGGAAGUUAAAAAUUAGAGUGAAACAUUAAAGACUUUACUCAGAAGAAAAUUUUAUGGAUUUCAGUGUGGAAGGUCAGAAGUUUAACAGUAGUUUAGACUGGAUUUGGAAUUAAAUCUGAAAUGGCUUAGAUUCCAUGUUCAAAUCCACAUUUACCUUAGAUGCUACCUCACUGCUUCAAAUCGAGAUUGAUGUAUGUUUUAGUUGACAACCUUGUUGGGAUGUGCUGUUACUCUUAUUUAAUUGUGAGAAAGGCUGUGCAGUUUCUACAUUAGAAUUCCAUGAAAAGGUAAAGAAAUUUCCAAGUCUAUCACACUUACAUUUCCUUACGAUCUUGCUAAGUAGACCACAGAGGACUAAUUUUCCCCAGUGAUGUUUUUAUUAAGUACAGCACAAACAAUAUAAGACUUUGUACUGGAAAACAGAAGGGGCAAGGUUUUAUUUUCUCAAACUUAGUCAUUGUGAUGCCAUUAUGUGUUGUUUUCUACCACUAACAUGAUAUGGAUGGCGGCAAAGGUGGGUGCCUCUCUGCUUUAUUUGGUUUGGCUUCCUGAUCUUGUAGGAAUGGUGGUGUAUCAGUUUCGGGGUCUGGGAUGGGGAUCUGAGUGACUCUAUCCCUUUAGCUUGUAGGAAAGGGAAGUCCUAUCCAAGCUAUUUCAGCUGUGACAUGGCUCUUUGGGGCUGCUCACACAAUACAAGGAAGGAAGAAAAGGGAGAAGAAGAUUACUGGGAUGGGAAGGGCAUGAUGAUCAUGUAGGAAUUGGUUUGCACCAGAAGGUGGACUUGCUCAGGGUAAGCUUUCAUAAAACAAAAGGGAAUUGUGAAGACUGAUGGCCUUCAUGUAGGGUGGAUCCUUUGCCUCUGUUUAAAGCUGCAGAUGAAUACUGGCCAGUUAUUCUGGUAAAUGUUGGCCAGGAAGUGAAAUAGGACUACGUCUUUUUCUGGUUUCCUGUUGGAUGGAGGUAGGCAGGAAAUAAAUCUAGCUUUAAAAAAGAAAAAAUAGUAAGGAUUCUAAAUACAGUUUAAAGUAUAGAACUUCCAGGAAAAUAAUGGAUUAGUGUUUUACUGAGCUGCUGAAAGACUUAUAUACCCCAUUGGCAGCAGGGCGGGUGAAGUAGGUAGGUAAAGUGUCCCAUCUGUGACAUGAUUACAGAGUGCCUGUGAGGUGCCACUUCCCUGCAGAAGCAAAAAGAAUAGUGUCUUUCACUGUAGUCAGUACUACUGCUGCUGUAGGGGGGCAGAGAAAUGUGGGGAAGGGCUUCUUAACCUUUCAGCCAUUUUAAUGUUUUUCACUAUGAGCAUGUUUACUGGGGAGAGGGCAUCUUAUGUCUUUGCACUCCAGUGCAUCUGUGCAGUGCUGGGUAAAAUUUGUCCACUUAGAAGCCUCACAGGAGCAAGCAUAUAAAUUGUUCAGUGCUUUUUUACAUGUGUGUGCAGUUCAGUUGUGCAAUAGCUCAGAAACUCUGUUUAGUUAACUUUACGGCAUUAGCAUGCAGGUUAAAAAUGGGAAAGCAUGUGCAACUUCGGACUUUUUUGGAAUUGAUGGAGCUGCAAAAGAUCAAAGAUAGCCCACAGUAUGUAGAUACCUACUGUUGCAUACCAAGUACAAAAUGUACAUGUUAAUAUGUUUUUUUUGUGAUUAACUAAUCCAUAUGGAGGUUAGAAAAUUAUUUGUGAAGCACUGGAGUUCAGUCUAAAUGUUGUUUCUGUUAGACAUUUAUGCGUAUUAGCAUAUACAGAUGCACCUAGACCUCAAAGUGGCCAAAAUUAAAUACAGUAUUAAAAUCUGGAUAUUUCAAAGUACGCACAUGUGUGGUGGUCCCCAUUUGGCUUACAUAAGGGAAGUGGAAUUCAAGCAGACACAGAAAUAUUCACUCAUUUGUAUAAUGGAAAGUAAAUUCAGCCUUGCUUUUGUUGUAUUUCUCAGUAACAUUUAAAGAGUAAUUUUCAAACUUCUGAAGAUACCAGUUUUUUCAAGACAUUUUUUUGAGUUCUAACUUUAUUUUAAAUUAUUAGCAUCUUCCAAGUCAGUAAGAUAUUAAUCUUCCUUGCAGUGAGUUGCAGCUGUUGAUGAUAGACAUAGGCUGAGUGCUUUUGUCUCAGCAAAGUAGGUGUUUCGUGUCAAGGCUUGAUUUGUUGUUCUUUCAGUGAAAGCAACUCAUCAAAUCCUACCUGAAUUAUCCCAGUGUAAUGCUUCAUGAGACCCUCACCCAAGCCAUGAUAUGUAGUUAGACAAGGCCAGGCUAUCACUUCUGGUAAAUUAAGGAUUUAAAAUGAGUUCUGGGUCUCAUUCAUUCUAUUUUCUCUCCAUGACAAGAAAAGGAAACUUGUCUAAAGCUGAUUGGUAUACAGUGAUUUUAGCUAGCAGUGCUGCUUACCCCAGUCUGCUACUUGUUCCCUACUAUUUGUGCAUCAUUUGAUCCAUCACCAAAUGAAAAAAGAUCUGGUUUAAAAAGUAACCUUUCACAGUCAUUUUUUGCUUCUUUUAGUCUUACCAAGUUUCUAAUUGUGUUAUGCACAAUAUACAAAUGUUUAUUUCACCAUAACAUGUGAAUAAAGUGCUAAGCUGAGCAGUUUAUUUUGGCAACUGUGGCAUCCUGUCAAACCAAAACAUUUGAAAAUGACAUGUUCACAAAGGUGGCAAAUAGGGGUUUUCAUUGGAGCCCGAUGAAAUCAAAACUGCAAUUUGGUCCUUUUGCUGCAUCAUUUCCUCUUUCACAAUCCAGACGGAAGUUACAGCUUAUCCAGCGCCUGAAGGUGCAUCUGCACCCACAGCUCUUGGACCAGCAGGGUCCAGGGAGUUACUCAAGCUGCUCACAGCUCUGAGGUGCCCAGUCAAGCCCAGACUGGUACCCACUGGUCCUGUCUCCACUGCCUGUGGCAUCAUUACAUAUGAGCUUUCAACUAGCUGAAUUCUAAAGCAUCCUCAUGUAUUUUGUAACAUAGAUUUUUCUGGAGAUAGUCUUACAAGUGAAAUUUUUGAUGUGAGUAGCAUUGCAAAUGAGCAACCUCUCUCUUGAUCUAGCUUGUUUCAACAGCUUUAGUUUGCUGCAGCCAAGCAAUGCCAACUAUGGUUGUUGUUUUCUUGAGAGAAAUGUUUUUCUGCACCACAGCGCUCUCAAAGGAAGUUUCUUGUUGUUACUAAUCUAUUUGAAUAACAAGUGAAAAGACUUGUUAAUUUAAGCACAACUUAAAAUUAUAGAAGAAUUUCGGGGUUUUAUUGUGUGGGUUAUGUUGUGGUUUGUUUGGAUUUUUUGUUCUGCAAAGACACAAAAUACAUAUUGGUAUUGAAUGACAUUUAAAAACGUACAACAGAGCAACGUAUGGCAUUGUCAUGGAAGAACUAGUAUGUGUAAUUAGAUUUUAAUAGUGGAGGUUCUUCUGAGCUUGGUCAUACAGUCUCUUGGUAUUAGUAAAAAACUUAAUGUUUCUGUUGAAGAACACAACCAAAAUAAUGACUAUUCCAGCAUAUUCUUUUCCACUCUAAUUGGUUUUCUAUGUUUCUGCAGGUGUACUGCUUUUGACCCAUAAGAAUUUUAAGCAUCUUUUUAAAAUUAAUCUAGAUUUUUAGAAAAGUUCUAGCAUGUGCACUGGGCUGUGACUACAGCUUUCACAGGCUAGAACCAUGUCUUUUAAUGAACAGCUUUGAGAUGUUUGGAGAAAGGAGAAGAGUCCCAUGUCAUUGCAUCAGUUAUGAACUGGCACCUGAUGAUAAAUUUUAUGAUACUAGCUUAUAAUUUUGCUUCUUUAUUGAGUUUCCAUGUAGGAGAAUUUUAUCUAUCCUUAUGGUGAAAAGGAGCAAGGAAGAGAUCUUUGAUUAUUUUUAUUUUUCAAGUACGAGCUUGUCCAGCUGUUGGAAUGUGAGUAGGAUACAGCAGAUCUGGGUGAAUGAUGGCAGAUGAUGUACAUGGCUGGUAAUGAUGAAAUCACUGAAAAUCUGAAUGCAAUUUGAGGCUCUAGUACAGAGAGGAGAGCAGUGAGGCACUUGUAUCUGGUGAGGCUUCGUUUGGAGUGUCGGGUGUUGUUGGUUGAUGCUGGCCGGAUGCCAGACACCCACCAAAGCCUCUCUCUGUUUCACCUCCACAGCUGGACAGGAGAGAGAAAAUGCUUGGGGUUCAUGGGUUGAGAUAAGGACAGAGAAAUCGCUCACCAAAUACCAUCAUGGGAAAAGCUGAAUCAGAUUAGAGGUAUUAAUUAAAUUUAUUGCUAACAAAAUCAGAGCAGGAUAAUGAGAACUAAAAUAAAUUAAGACCCUAUCUCCCCUCCCUCCUUCGUAGCUCCACCUCCUACACCCGGGUGCUAGGAGAGACGGGAAAUGGGGAUUAUGGUCAGUUCAUCGCAUCAGGAGUUUCUCCUGCUGCUCAGGGUGAGGAGUCCUUCCCCUGCGGCACCGUGGGGUCCCUCCCACAGGAGACAGUUCUCUACAAACUUCUCCAAUUUGAGUCCAUCUCACAGGCAACAAUCCUCCUCAAACUGCUGCAGCAUGGGCCCCUCUCUCCAUGGGUCUCCCAUCAGGUUACAGCCUCUGCUCAGGCAUCCCCCUGCUCCAGCGUGGAUCUCCUCCGUGGGCUGCAGGUGGAUUUCUGCAUCGCUGUGGAACUGCGUGGGCUGCAGGGGCACAGCUGCCCCACCGUGGGCUGCACUGUGGGCUGCAGAGAAGUCCCAGCUCUGGUGCCUGGAGCACCUCCUGCCUCUCCUUCUGCACUGACCUUGGUGUCUGCAGGGCUGUUCUUCCACAUAUUCUCACUCUGCUCUUCUCUGGUCACAGCUGCACAGCAACUUUUUUUUUUGUCUUGUUUGAAUCUGUUACCCCAGAGGUGUUUAUCACCAUUUCUGAUGGGCCCAGCCUUGGCAAGUGGCACGUCCGUCUUUAGAGCCACCAGAGACUGGCUCUGCCGGACAUGGAGGAAGGUUCUGGCAGCUUCUCACAGAGGCCACUCCUGUAAUCCCUCCCCCACCCACCACCCUCACAAACCAGGUGAUGUAACCCAAAUAAAUUUCGUUUAAGAAAAAUGGAACCAAGGAGGACUGCAAGGAGAAAAAAGCUGUUGUGCAGAUGCAGAACUCUUUACUUGAGCAUAAGCAGAACUGGAAGAAGAAAUAACUUUUCUGUCUAAAUGCAAGAGGUUGUAAUUUGGGUAGGUGCUUGUGAAGAAUUUUUGGCACAACACAAAACUAAAAAUUGCAAUGAAUUGCUAGAAAUCAGUAUGAGCCUCUAUUGGGAGCAUCUUUCCAGUCUCUAAAAUCAGGAAGAAAAAUGUGGUAUCAGCCAGCACCUUCAGUACUCUCAAAAGAAAGCUUUCCGUGUGCCGCCGCUGUGUGCUGAGUUUGGCCCAGUUGGAUGGUAAGGCUGCCUGUGCUUCUCAGUGCACUGUUGAGAAGCUGGAGUCCAAUGAGGAAACGGUAGAAGAGUUUUAUUGUCUGGAGCUACUUUUUUCUUGACCAUUGGAAACAGCAAAAUGCUUUGUAAUGCCCAAUGGGUACCUGCUUGCAGCAGUCUUCAAAUAGUGCUCUGUAUCUGGCAUUGUUUUGUUUGUAUGGAAGGUAAAGUCAAGCAUCUCACUCUGGUUUUAGGAGAAAUAACUCUCACUUUUCAAACCUGACUUUUUGAGGCAGUUUCUGAUUAGACAGUUCUGGCUGAAUCAGAGCAAUUUCCAAGCAAUUCUUUCUCUCUGCUGGCAGAGGAGAGACUGCAUUGGUGUUACCCGAGUUGACCUAGGCUGUAGAGGAUGCCUUUGUGAAAUAACUCUCCAAGGGAAUGCAUGCAGGCUGUUGUAUAAAGAAACUUGUGAGAGAGAACAUUCAGCAAAGACCAGUGAUUGUUUUAGUUUCCACUGAUUGCUUUUACAUUAAAACAAUGAACAGAACAGAUGGUUAAGGUGGAGGAGCUAUGUAACAUUGAAAAACAAUCUCUGAAGUCAUGUGGUUUGGGCGUGGGGUGUGUUUUGAAAAAGUAAUUUUUUGUGAAACUAACUGUUACCACCUGGGCAAAUUUGCUGUAAAUUACUGGAAGGAAGUAGCUGGUUGUUGAAUGUCCUUGUCUUUCUGCUAGUUAACUCUGUGCUUCAGUUGACAGGCUGCAGCAUUAUCAUUCUGGAUUUAUCUCCUGGUAUUUCAUUGUUGUUUUCUAUUUUUCUCCUUUUUUUUUUCCCUUCUAAUUUUUAAUACCAAUAUCUGUCAAGUUUGGUGAAAAGAUUUUGGCAUUCUUAGAGUACUUAUCUUGGCUGCCAGGUAGUCCUUUGGAAGCUCAGGGUGCUUGCAGGGUGAUUUACUGGGGAUUAUGGUGAAUCCAUCUUGGCUGCAUGCCUGACCUGGUGUACAUAGGGAGGACUUUGCUGCUGAGAUGCAAUAAACAUUGAGUUUCUGUACUUGUCGUGAAAUACAUCUGCAAACUAUCUAGAUGAACUUGUUGAAGCUGUUGUGCUCUUUAUAGCUGCUUUAUGUAGAAGCUGGAUCUGCAGGGAAAAUGAAUAAAUAUUGUACAGAGUUAGAGACUCAGUAGCCGUGCAUACAUUCCUUAUGUUUUUAAUGUUCUGUAUAUGUUUGCACCUUUGAAGACUGUGCAGCAUGAAAGAAUUUUUUUUAUUCGGUUCUUGUUAAGUUUACACUAGACUAAACUGGUCUCCAGCAGGGUUAUAUCACUUCAUGUCUCUGAGCUUACCAGGGAAGUCUGUCUAGAAAGAUUUAAUGCAAGCACUGAUAGAUGCAAAUUUUGACUCUGCAAUCACCAGUUGGAUCACAACAAGCCUACUUCUGGAUUUGAACGAAGCUUGCACAAACAUGAAAACUGACAUAUGCUGACACCAACAGGCAUUGAAACAUUGAAAAUAUUUUUGAGAGUUGUAUGGUUUUAAUGGAUUUCUUCAUAUGUGUAAGCCAUGGUGGAAAAACUGAUGGGAACUCUCUCUGGAAAAAGAAGUAAAUGCCUGGCUGGUACAUGCUUUGGGUGGGUUAUAAAACCUUUAUUUAUGGCAGGAAGUUGAGCUUCUUCAAAGAUAAGUGCUUAUCUAGUGAGUGCUGUAAAGAUCCUGGAGAGUGACCUCUGUUCUCACCAGCUUCCAACUUUUGCUCUCUUUCCUCUUCCCUUUCCUGGAUAAGUUUCCUUUCCCCUGUCAGGAGCUUUUUAAAAUGCAGUUUCCUUUUCACAGCGAUUCUUUUGCAUAUGGUGUUUGUAGUAGCACUCUGAAAAGGUUUAUAGAAUUGAAGACAAACUUGGUCACAUUGUAGAUAGUUCAUUAGUGCCAUUCAACUGAAAAAUUACUCAAUUUUCAACUUUUCUUAUUUCUGUUGUCUUGAAGUCUUUGCUUUGCUUUUCUUCCUGGCAGUGUUUAAUUGACUAGGAGAGAGACAUCCUUGCAGGAGGAUCUGAUUAUAUGUCACAUCCUUUUGUCUGAUGAAAGCUUUAGAGCAGGUAGUGGAUUUCCAUGAGAGCUGUCCAUACUUUGCACUGCUGUCAUCACUCUGUUGUGUUUAGCUAAGACACUUAAGACAAGGUUGAACCUUCAUGACAGAUCAUUUACAGCUGGCUUCUCUGUUCCUUGCUAUGGUGUACACUGCUGUGUUCAAAGCAGUGAAUGGUCAUGGGAAGUGGUGUUCCUUGUGGCUUGCAGAAGUUCUGGGCUAGCCUGUGUUACUCUGUUACUCAGCUGUGAUUCCAGCACACUGGUUUUGAAAGCAGAGCUCAAUAGCUUUAUGCUUCUAUUACACAAAUAGUUUUGGUUGCAAAGUGGAACGAUUGUGAAAUUUGGAAGUAGAAAAGCAUGUAGUAGUUAUCUUACUGUUGCACUGGUUUUUACCAUCUCCUUGAAGUAGCAGAAGAUACAUUUUGUUCUCCCUUUUCUUACCUGUCAAGCUCUGUAAGUAAGGAGAAGAGAAUGGAAUAACCAUGAGAUUAAGACUUCAUUUAUCUUUUCCUUCCUUUUUUCCUCCUUCUCUCUUUCUCUUUGAACAGCAUUUGGUUGGGGUGGGAGGGCAUUGGGAUAAAGAUCUAAUCUUUCUGAAGCAGUAGAGUUCCUGUGUGUGAUGUCACAAGAGACAGCUUUACUCCAAUUGCACCUUUAUUGUUUCAGUUAAACCUGUAUUGUACUGUGUUGGAUGGACUAAGAGGUGUUUUAAUGCCAUGUAGGUGUCCAAAUGUCCUUGUGCAGGAAGUGACUAAUAUAGCUGGGCAGGUAGGGCUGCACUAAUGAGACAGAAAACAAAGGGCUUUUUUUAAUAACAGAGAAGCUCUCACUAUCCAACUUACAGAACACAUCACAUGGCAUUAAGAAGUUUAGUGUUGUUUUGGCAUACUGUUGCUUUCACUACUUAUUCACAAUUUGGAAAUUUUUUGGGGAGUGUAGAUUUUAGAGAAAUUAUCUGCAUAUACUAUGUCUUAGGUUGUAUAACAGAUAAAUUAGUUGUGCUAAUACUACAUGAUGCAAACCCAAGCAAACAAGUGAGAGCAGUUCAGUCAUACUUGUCCUGUGGUGACCUCAGUGAAAAAUCCUUGGAAUCAUGCCUAAUUGCAGGUCCAGUUCAAACUACUUUAAAAACCAGUUUUGCGUUAACUCUUUGGGAAAAACAUGUUGCUUUUUGGUUCUGUUUCAUGUGAAAUUACUGCAAACUUAUGAAAUUCCAAGCUUCCCCCCCCCCCAAAAAAAAAAUUUGGGGAACUGGUACCUGAUUGUUGAAAUUUCCUUGAAUCUGUAAACACAGUAAUAAUAUGAAUAUGAUGAUAAUUAAACUCUCAUACUAAAGUUAAAUUGCAUCUCAUCUAAUGAAAGUGGAAAUAUAUACAUUUUGUAUAACUUCCUUUCUCCUUUCAUGUUCUCUUUUGGAUUUUUGUGUUUGAACUUCUGUUGUUAGGUCCUCUCUGCUCUCUGAAUUUGCACACCUCAGUAAAUGUAAAGUUCCUGUAAUAUAGGCAGAAUUGUGGUGCUCCCAUCUUUAGUGGAGUCUAAAUAAAAGUUCUAGUCUACUCUUGUGGACUUUUUUUGUUGCUUUUUAUUCCACUUUUCUGGUUAUAUCUCAAGCAGUUUCUGCAGGUUGACCAGGUUUUCUUGGCUAUAUUGCACUCAAAUUUGCAGUUUAAUGGGUCUUUCUAAGGAUCUCUUAAAAGUACUUCUGUUGUGUGAUAUUCAGUACUGCAUAUAUGCAGUUUGUCUAGUCUCAUGUAGGAUGUGAAUCCAAGGUCUUCCAUCCUAAGAUACUUGUCUGCUGUCAUAGCUAAGGAGGAAAAUCAUGUUAAAUCCCUUGAGAAUUCAGCAAGGGUAUCUUUAAGUUACUAAAAUUAUAAUUUUUGCAUCACAGGUGCAAUUUGUCUGCUGUUAGAAUUGAAGAGUCCUAACAGACUUCCAGAUUUUCUUGGUUUCUUCCAGAUGGAAAUGUUCCAUCCUACUUGAAUCUAAUUCUGAGCAUGAACUUUGGAGAAACCCACUUACCUGGUUGCUCCUGUGGC
Molecule: non-coding RNA, 14628 nt
Organism: Taeniopygia guttata (zebra finch)
Lineage: Eukaryota; Metazoa; Chordata; Aves; Passeriformes; Estrildidae
Source: RefSeq, a predicted model, not a curated record